RNAcentral lists this ribosomal RNA (457 nucleotides) under uncultured bacterium. RNAcentral's name for it is "bacterial SSU rRNA". It matches the Rfam family "Bacterial small subunit ribosomal RNA", at positions 343 to 793 of the family's 1533-position model. The record is from RNAcentral.
GGGAGGCAGCAGUGGGGAAUAUUGCACAAUGGGCGCAAGCCUGAUGCAGCCAUGCCGCGUGUAUGAAGAAGGCCUUCGGGUUGUAAAGUACUUUCAGCAGUGAGGAAGGUGGUAGUGUUAAUAGCACUAUCAUUUGACGUUAGCUGCAGAAGAAGCACCGGCUAACUCCGUGCCAGCAGCCGCGGUAAUACGGAGGGUGCGAGCGUUAAUCGGAAUUACUGGGCGUAAAGCGCAUGCAGGUGGUUUGUUAAGUCAGAUGUGAAAGCCCGGGGCUCAACCUCGGAAUUGCAUUUGAAACUGGCAGACUAGAGUACUGUAGAGGGGGUAGAAUUUCAGGUGUAGCGGUGAAAUGCGUAGAGAUCUGAAGGAAUACCGGUGGCGAAGGCGGCCCCCUGGACAGAUACUGACACUCAGAUGCGAAAGCGUGCGGAGCAAACAGGAUUAGAUACCCUGGUAG